UACGAAGGGAGCUAGCGUUACUCGGAAUCACUGGGCGUAAAGCGCAUGUAGGCGGAAUUAUAAGUCAGGGGUGAAAUCCCAAGGCUCAACCUUGGAAUUGCCUUUGAAACUGUAACACUUGAGUAUGGUAGAGGAUAGUGGAAUUUCCAGUGUAGAGGUGAAAUUCGUAGAUAUUGGAAAGAACACCAGUGGCGAAGGCGGCUAUCUGGACCAUUACUGACGCUGAGAUGCGAAAGCGUGGGGAGCAAACGGG
Molecule: ribosomal RNA, 253 nt
Filed under: uncultured bacterium
Lineage: Bacteria
Description: partial 16S ribosomal RNA
Rfam family: Bacterial small subunit ribosomal RNA
Source: RNAcentral